CCUACGGGGCGCAGCAGUGAGGAAUAUUGGUCAAUGGGCGCGAGACUGAACCAGCCAAGCCGCGUGAGGGAUGAAGGUACAGAGUAUCGUAAACCUCUUUUGUCAGGGAAUAAAGGCGGGGACGUGUCCCCUUUUGUGUGUAUUUUAAGAAAAAGCAUCGGCUAACUCCGUGCCAGCAGCCGCGGUAAUACGGAGGAUGCGAGCGUUAUCCGGAUUUAUUGGGUUUAAAGGGUGCGUAGGUGGGCUUUUAAGUCAGCUGUGAAAAUUCGCGGCUCAACC
Molecule: ribosomal RNA, 279 nt
Filed under: uncultured bacterium
Lineage: Bacteria
Description: partial 16S ribosomal RNA
Rfam family: Bacterial small subunit ribosomal RNA
Source: RNAcentral